GGGUCCAUAGCUCAGUGAUAGAGCAUUUGACUGCAGAUCAAGAGGUCACCGGUUUGAUCUUGGUUGGGCCCU
Molecule: transfer RNA, 72 nt
Filed under: Ipomoea nil (Japanese morning glory)
Lineage: Eukaryota; Viridiplantae; Streptophyta; Magnoliopsida; Solanales; Convolvulaceae
Rfam family: tRNA
About the family: Transfer RNA (tRNA) molecules are approximately 80 nucleotides in length. Their secondary structure includes four short double-helical elements and three loops (D, anti-codon, and T loops).
Source: Rfam by way of RNAcentral